This 913-nucleotide ribosomal RNA is filed under the name uncultured archaeon. Its description in RNAcentral is "bacterial SSU rRNA". It matches the Rfam family "Archaeal small subunit ribosomal RNA", at positions 1 to 922 of the family's 1478-position model. The record is from RNAcentral.
UUUUGCGUGAUCCACCAGAACCUGACUGCUAUCGGAUUGAUACUAAGCCAUGCGAGUCAUUGUAGUAAUACAAGGCAGACGGCUCAGUAACGCGUAGUCAACUACCAUAUGGACGGGGAUAACCUCGGGAAACUGAGAAUAAUACCCGAUAGAACAUUAUACCUGGAAUGGUUUAUGUUUCAAAUAAUUUAUUGCCGUAGGAUGGGACUGCGGCCUAUCAGUUUGUUGGUGAGGUAAUGGCCCACCAAGACUAUUACAGGUACGGGCUCUGAGAGGAGUAGCCCGGAGAUGGGUACUGAGACACGGACCCAGGCCCUAUGGGGCGCAGCAGGCGAGAAAACUUUGCAAUGUGCGAAAGCACGACAAGGUUAAUCCGAGUGGUUUCUGCUAAAGGAACCUUUUGUCAGUCCUAGAAACACUGGUGAAUAAGGGGUGGGCAAGUUCUGGUGUCAGCCGCCGCGGUAAAACCAGCACCUCAAGUGGUCAGGAUGAUUAUUGGGCCUAAAGCAUCCGUAGCCUGCUUUGUUAGUUUUCGGUUAAAUCCAUACGCUUAACGUAUGGGUUGCCGGGAAUACUGCAAAGCUAGGGAGUGGGAGAGGUAGACGGUACUCGGUAGGAAGGGGUAAAAUCCUUUGAUCUAUUGAUGACCACCUGUGGCGAAGGCGGUCUACCAGAACACGUCCGACGGUGAGGGAUGAAAGCUGGGGGAACAAACCGGAUUAGAUACCCGGGUAGUCCCAGCUGUAAACUAUGCAAACUCGGUGAUGCAUUGGCUUGAUGCCAAUGCAGUGCCGCAGGGAAGCCGUUAAGUUUGCCGCCUGGGAAGUACGUACGCAAGUAUGAAACUUAAAGGAAUUGGCGGGGGAGCACCACAAGGGGUGAAGCCUGCGGUUCAAUUGGAUUCAACGCCGGG